CUCCCAAACUGCUGGGGUUACCAGCAUGAGCCACUGCACCCGGCCCUCACUGCGGCCUUUAACUCCAGGGAUCAAGUGAUCCUCCUACUCCAGCCUCCUGAGGAGCUGGGACUACAGGAGAGGAGACUAAUCCGAAGCUCAGAAAGGCUCAGUGCAUUCCCAAGGUCGUUCAGCCAGGAGAGCGCUGAAGGGAUCUGAGCUGAGAGCAAGUCUCAAACUCAGAGAAUGGAGGAGCUGCCCCGGAAGUGGCUGCUCGAGGCUGCAGUGAACUAUGAUCCUGCGGCCAAUCGCGGUGGCUCACGCCUGUAAUCCCAGCCUUCUGGGAGGCCGAGGCGGGCGGAUCGCUUGAGGUCAGAAGUUCGACACUAGCUUGGCCAACAUGGUAAAACACCGUCUCUACAAAAAAAUGCAAAAAUUAGUUGGGUGUGGUGGCGCGCGCCUGUGGUCCCAGCUACUCAGGAGGCUGAGGUGGGAGGAACGCUUGAGCGGGGGAGGCGGAAGUUACAGUGAGUCGAGAUCGCCCCACUGCACUCCAGCCUGGACAACAGAAUGAGACCCUGUCUAAAAAUAAAAUACAUGAGCCGAGUGCGGUGGCGCGCGCCUGUGAUCUCACAUACUCGGCAGGCUGAGGUUGGGAGAACCGCCUGAACCUG
Molecule: long non-coding RNA, 653 nt
Filed under: Homo sapiens (human)
Lineage: Eukaryota; Metazoa; Chordata; Mammalia; Primates; Hominidae
Description: PREDICTED lncRNA (TCONS_00100370)
Source: RNAcentral